RNAcentral lists this long non-coding RNA (199 nucleotides) under Brassica napus (rape). RNAcentral's name for it is "long non-coding RNA (BNAP_LNC015472)". Lineage: Eukaryota; Viridiplantae; Streptophyta; Magnoliopsida; Brassicales; Brassicaceae. The record is from RNAcentral.
AUAGUAAAAUUAAUAAAAAUUAACAGGAGGUGGUAAAAAUCUUGGAAUGAUUUGGGUAAUGAUUUAGAGUUGGAGAUGAAAGAGAAGAGAUGAAGUUUCAGAAGAAAGAAAAACAUAAGAGAGAACACUGAGAAGGAAGAGAAGAAAUAGAACUAGAAUGGUGACCAGGGAACGGUGGGGAAUAAUGCAUUCUCUAACG